GUUUCCUAGCUGAAAACUGAGGAAAAUCUCAGUGCUUCUGCUUCAGUUGCCAUUGCUUGACUGGGGUCCUCCUGGUGCCUCUCCGCCCAUGCACAGGAUAGAGGUCUAGCUCUAUUCCUGAGAGCUCUAAUCCUUGCAAGGAUAUAUAUGUAUAACUGUGUGCAUCUGACUGUGGGACUGUGUGCAUGUGACUCUUCAGUC
This is a non-coding RNA of Pelobates cultripes (western spadefoot toad), 201 nucleotides long. Lineage: Eukaryota; Metazoa; Chordata; Amphibia; Anura; Pelobatidae. The record is from the annotation of a GenBank genome assembly.